GUGGGGAAUAUUGGGCAAUGGAGGCAACUCUGACCCAGCCAUGCCGCGUGGGUGACGAAGGUCUUCGGAUUGUAAAGCCCUUUCGGCGGGGACGAUGAUGACGGUACCCGCAGAAGAAGCCCCGGCUAACUUCGUGCCAGCAGCCGCGGUAAUACGAAGGGGGCUAGCGUUGUUCGGAAUUACUGGGCGUAAAGGGCGUGUAGGCGGCCCGUUAAGACAGGUGUGAAAUUCCUGGGCUCAACCCAGGACGUGCGCCUGUGACUGGCGGGCUUGAGUCCGGGAGAGGAUGGUGGAACUCCCAGUGUAGAGGUGAAAUUCGUAGAUAUUGGGAAGAACACCCGUGGCGAAGGCGGCCAUCUGGACCGGUACUGACGCUAAGGCGCGACAGCGUGGGGAGCAAACAGGAUUAGAUACCCCAGUAGUCC
This 425-nucleotide ribosomal RNA is filed under the name uncultured bacterium. Its description in RNAcentral is "bacterial SSU rRNA". It matches the Rfam family "Bacterial small subunit ribosomal RNA", at positions 354 to 796 of the family's 1533-position model. The record is from RNAcentral.